AUGUCCACCGACGCCGACCGUGCCGCCGCCGAGAAAGCUGAAGCCGACAAGAAGGUCGCUGAGGACGCCGCUGCUGCCACCAAAGCCGCGGCCUCUGCGUGGCCUACUGGAGGGUAUAACUUGUUUAUCCCGCUCCUGAUUAUUUUCAUAUUAGCAGUACUAGCAGUAUGUGUAGAUUUGUCUACUGUUUGCUUAGUACGUGCAUGUUUAGAUCAGAGUCAGUUCGUCAUCAACUUAGUCAAUGCCAUGCUAGUGAUUUACUCAUGGAUUAAUUUAAUCGAGAAAUUGCCUAUUUACUCAACAUAG
RNAcentral lists this ribosomal RNA (306 nucleotides) under Triticum aestivum (bread wheat). RNAcentral's name for it is "partial small subunit ribosomal RNA". Lineage: Eukaryota; Viridiplantae; Streptophyta; Magnoliopsida; Poales; Poaceae. The record is from RNAcentral.